GACCAAGGAGUCUAACAUGUGCGCGAGUCGUAGGGUUACGCUCAAAGCCCGAAGGCGCAAUGAAAGUGAAGGUCGGCCUCGAUUGCCGUUACCUAGGCGGGAUCCGUUCGGGCUUACCGGUCGUUCGCGGCUGAGCCCGGCGGCGCACCGCCGGCCCGUCUCGACCGCAUCGCCGGUGAGGCGGAGCGAGAGCGUACACGUUGGGACCCGAAAGAUGGUGAACUAUGCCCGGGCAGGACGAAGCCAGAGGAAACUCUGGUGGAGGUCCGUAGCGAUUCUGACGUGCAAAUCGAUCGUCGGACCUGGGUAUAGGGGCGAAAGAUUAAUCGAACCAUCUAGUAGCUGGUUCCU
This 351-nucleotide ribosomal RNA is filed under the name Craterostigmus tasmanianus. Its description in RNAcentral is "eukaryotic LSU rRNA". It matches the Rfam family "Eukaryotic large subunit ribosomal RNA", at positions 664 to 959 of the family's 3401-position model. Lineage: Eukaryota; Metazoa; Arthropoda; Chilopoda; Craterostigmomorpha; Craterostigmidae. The record is from RNAcentral.